UACGGAGGGUGCAAGCGUUAAUCGGAAUUACUGGGCGUAAAGCGCACGCAGGCGGUUAAUUAAGUUAGAUGUGAAAUCCCCGGGCUUAACCUGGGAAUGGCAUCUAAAACUGGUUAGCUAGAGUCUUGUAGAGGGGGGUAGAAUUCCAUGUGUAGCGGUGAAAUGCGUAGAGAUGUGGAGGAAUACCGGUGGCGAAGGCGGCCCCCUGGACAAAGACUGACGCUCAGGUGCGAAAGCGUGGGGAGCAAAC
This 250-nucleotide ribosomal RNA is filed under the name uncultured bacterium. Its description in RNAcentral is "partial 16S ribosomal RNA". It matches the Rfam family "Bacterial small subunit ribosomal RNA", at positions 524 to 773 of the family's 1533-position model. The record is from RNAcentral.